This 433-nucleotide ribosomal RNA is filed under the name uncultured bacterium. Its description in RNAcentral is "partial 16S ribosomal RNA". It matches the Rfam family "Bacterial small subunit ribosomal RNA", at positions 29 to 507 of the family's 1533-position model. The record is from RNAcentral.
AACGAACGCUGGCGGCAGGCCUAACACAUGCAAGUCGAGCGAGGACUUCGGUCCUAGCGGCGGACGGGUGAGUAACGCGUGGGAACGUGCCCUUUGCCUCCGAAUAGUCCUGUGACACUGGGAGUAAUACCGGAUGAGCCCUUUGGGGGCAAGAUUUAUCGGCGAAGGAUCGGCCCGCGUUGGUUUAGGUAGUUGGUGGGGUAAUGGCCUAUCAAGCCGUCGAUCCAUAGCUGGUUUGAGAGGCAGAUCAGCCACACUGGGACGGAGACACGGCCCAGAAUCCUACGGGAGGCAGGAGAGGGGAAUCUUAGAAAAUGGGGGGAACGCUGAACGAGCCAGGCCGCGAGAGCGAUGAAGGCCGGAGAGAUGUAAAGCUCGUUCAGCUGGGAAGAUAAUGACGGUACCAGCAGAAGAAGCCCCGGCUAACUCCGUG